This 500-nucleotide ribosomal RNA is filed under the name uncultured bacterium. RNAcentral describes it as "partial 16S ribosomal RNA". It matches the Rfam family "Bacterial small subunit ribosomal RNA", at positions 29 to 523 of the family's 1533-position model. The record is from RNAcentral.
AACGAACGCUGGCGGCAUGCCUUACACAUGCAAGUCGAACGGCAGCGCGGACUUCGGUCUGGCAGCGAGUGGCGAACGGGUGAGUAAUAUAUCGGAACGUACCCAGGAGUGGGGGAUAACGUAGCGAAAGUUACGCUAAUACCGCAUACGUCCUAAGGGAGAAAGCGGGGGAUCGCAAGACCUCGUGCUCAUGGAGCGGCCGAUAUCUGAUUAGCUAGUUGGUGGGGUAAAAGCCUACCAAGGCAACGAUCAGUAGCUGGUCUGAGAGGACGACCAGCCACACUGGAACUGAGACACGGUCCAGACUCCUACGGGAGGCAGCAGUGGGGAAUUUUGGACAAUGGGGGCAACCCUGAUCCAGCAAUGCCGCGUGAGUGAAGAAGGCCCUCGGGUUGUAAAGCUCUUUUGUCAGGGAAGAAAAGGGAUUGGCUAAUAUCUGGUCCUCAUGACGGUACCUGAAGAAUAAGCACCGGCUAACUACGUGCCAGCAGCCGCCGUAA